This is a long non-coding RNA of Felis catus (domestic cat), 5265 nucleotides long. RefSeq lists it as uncharacterized. The record is from RefSeq and is a predicted model, not a curated record. Lineage: Eukaryota; Metazoa; Chordata; Mammalia; Carnivora; Felidae. The transcript is spliced from 5 exons.
UAUCUUUUGUCGGUUGUACUUCUGGUGUCGGGCCGAAGAAAUCUUCAACAAAUCCCAGAUUGAAAAGAUUCCCCUGUGUUUUCUUCUAAAUACGUAAUGGUACGUAUUUACAUUUAAACAUAGGGUCCUUUUAAAAUUAAGUUUUGUAUACUGUCGGAGGUUUGCAUCGAGACUCGUUCUUGUCCAUGGAGACCCUCGUGGCCGCCAGUGGCCCCAGCCCCAUCUGUCUGGGGGGCUGUCCAUUCACCGUGGGGCGGUCUUCGCUCCGGCGUCCAAGGUCAGUUGACCACUGUGUUUGUGAGGGUCUAGCUCCUGCUCCACAGCCCCAGAAAGAAGCGCAGCCGGAUGGUCCCCUGACUGUAGCCCAGGGAGCCCACAUCAGACCUGUCACCUGCACAACUGGGACAGAAGAAAUUCGUGUCGUCCGAGCCACUGACUGUAGUAACUCGUUAGGUCAGCAGCAGGAGACCAAGGAGAAGGUUCAGCUGGCACUGACCGGAAGGUGCCCCACCUGACGCCAGGUGUGUGCGCAGGUGCUGGGGUGGACGCGUCGUGGGGUCGGGACACAGAGGAGGGCGUGGUGAGCAGGGCAGGUGCGCUGUCUGAGAGGCCGUCGGCACUGUCAAGAGUCGCCCGCGGACACGAUCGGGUCACAACCCAGGAUCAGAGCGGCCCCAGGCCCGGACCCGCGAGCAGCAUCCGGGCAGGACGUGAGGAGCGGCCCUGAGAGGUGACGUCCGACGGCUGAUACAGGACGUGCCGGGCGACGUGUGGGUACAACGGACGCGUCAGACGUGCGGCUCCAGGACGUGAGUGCGCCCUGCGCCGCUGACCGAUGACGUCACACGUGGGGAUCCGGGACGUGACGUGCGCCGCGCGGCUCCGACAGACGACGUGGGACCGUGAGAUACGGGAAGUGACGUAGGCCGCGUAGAUACAGAGGAUGACGUCAGACCUGCGGCUCUAGAACAGGACUUGGGACGUGCGGCUCUGGCAGAUGACAUCGACGGGCUGAUACAGGAGGAGACAUGCGCCCUGCGCCUGUGACAGAUGACGUCACACGUGGGGAUCUGAGACCUGACGUGCCAGACGUGCUGAUAUCACAGAUGGGGACACCCGUGGGGAUCCCGGACGUGACGUGCGCCCCGCGGCUCUGAUGACCACGACGUCCGAGAGCCGCACCCGAGCCGCGUCCCCGCAGGAUGCCCAUCCAGCCCGAGCGGCCGGGAGGUCCCCACGCGGAGCCCCCUUCCCCUCCCGGGCCGAACUCCUCCUUAGCGGCCGGUCCGCAGAGUCCCCUCCGCGCCAGCACCGCCCGGGGCAGGUGUUCCCCGCCACCCCCCACGUCCCCCCCUCAGAGCGGGUCUCCGGGCGGCAGGUCCAGACCCGGUUCGGCCGAUGGGUCCGUGUCAGACGGACCGGGGGACGGGGCGGCGGACCCGGGGGAGGCGGUGCCCGCACCCUUCCUCCGCCUGAGCACACGUCCUCCGACGGAGCCCGAGGGCCAUCGCCAGGCCCCAGAGGAGGGGCCCCGACGUGCCCGGGGCGAUGUGGUCCCCGCCGGUGUCAUCUGCCAGCCGCCGCCGCGGGGAGGCCCGCGUGUGCCAGGGAGGCAGAUGGUUCUCUCCUCUGCCUAACGUGCCUCCUGGCAGCUGGGCCAGCUCAGGGGCAGGAGCAGCAGGUGUUUUCCUGCCCUGCGCCUCAGCCUGGAGCAAGCCCCGCCCCCGCCCCGCCCCGCCCCCCGGGGAGGUGCCGCCUCCUGCCCUCCCCCCAGCAGGGCCCCUGAGAGCCAGAGCAGAGGCCCUGUGGCUGGGAGAGAAGGACUCCCUUCUUCCACCCCGAGGACCGGCCCCCUGUCCCAGGAGGGAGCGGUGGUGCCCGCGGCCCGCGACCCAGGCACCGAGCCCGACGGAAGGGAGGUGUCUCUACCCUGACCUGGCAGACAUGGAAGCACGUUUCCUAGACUAGUCUACACUGCUGUGAAUGUCUCCCAGCUUCCCCAGAUGUGUCUUCAAUAACCUUGGAUAUCCUCUUAAUUCACCAGCUACGUCUGCGCUGCUGCUGGGAUCUCUAAUACCCUAGAUAUUUCUACCCUGACCUGGAAUGUUUUCUUCAUUCACCAAGUGCACCCACCUUAAUCUCAGCUAACUGCUGAGGUGUGGCUGUUUAUAGCUGGGAUAUCUGAUUAUGCAGACGAGUCUACACCGAACAAGGACGACUUUCUAAAUCCUCAGGGGGGAGCUACCAUGAUCGAGGACGUCACCUUGAUUCCUCAACUAUUUCUGCAUGGACCCGGGAAGUGUCCCUAACCCCCCAGUUCUGUCUACCCUGAUCAGGGAGACAGGUUCAGGCCGUAAGCACUGAGGCCUCCCUAGUAAGUCAGGUGUGUGCGCACGUGCCUGGAAGGGCAUCUUUCCCGACCUGGGUUGUCACUCCAAUUCUCCAGGCUUGUGACGUCUCCGUGACCCAGGAUGGUGUCUGGCCUGAGCGAGGACUCCCUCCACACUCCAGUGUUGCUGGUCCUAGCAGGGAGGUGGACUCUGUUCCCCUGGGGUGUCUACCUUUACAAGUUAGGUUUUCACUAUUCUCCAGCUGUAUCUCACUGGAACUCCAUAGAAGUGACUUUCUCUAUCGCAGAAUAUCUACAGUUACAGUAAGUGUUUGUGCAGUAGUUAGCUCAUUCCCUCCCUUAGCAGUACCAGUCUUAUUCAGAGAGUAAAGAGUCUAAUACAGGUUUUGCUUGUAUAAACAACGCGCAAAAAAUUGAAACCCAUCAUGAAAGGUGCACAUUGGCUUAUAAAAAUACUGAAUUUAACCAACUAAAAAGAUCAAAUGAGUACACUGGCAUUUGAUGAAUUCAGGAGUCAUGGUCAGGGUCUAUGCACGAGGGGGCAACAGAAAACGUCGCAGGUCAGAGUAAACACCUGGAGAACCCAUGUCCCAGAGCUGCUCUGACAUGCCUGUUACAGAGACCUUCCAGGUCAGUGUGGACACAGUGGGAUAUCAGGCAGACAUACCAGGUUAUGGUGGGCACUUAAGCUAUUAAAGCACUGCUGGUCAGUGUAGACCCAAGUGCAGAUAAAGGGAGGUAUCCCAGCAUGGUGUAGACACACUUCAGGACUAGGGAGACAUCCCAGGUCAGGAGAUCAACACCUGUGACAGGCAGACAUCCCGUCAGGACACACACACCUAGUAGAUACGACCUACCAAGUCAGGGCAGACGUGGCCAGGGAUAUCGGGAGACGCCGCAGGUCAUGUAGACUCACCUGUGCAACCAGGCAGAUACCCAAGAUGAGGCAGCCAGCCCUGGGAAACGAGGAACCUUCCACUAAGACCAACCUGGGGAAUGAGGUGCACGUCUCGGGCAACACUAGACACGACAGUCACACCGGAGAUGCUCCCGCUUAGUACGGACACACCCGGGGCACGAGGGAGGCGUCCCUGGUCGUGGAGACACACACGGGCUUGGAGAAAACAUACAAGGUGAAGGUAGCCACAGCUGGGGAGAGCUGAACACCUGCCAGGUGAGGGGAGCCAGGUAAUGGUAAACAUGGGUCACUGAAACAUCCUCUGUCAGGUCAGUAUAGACGUACCUGAACUAUGAGCAGAUACACCGGGUCAGGUGAGACACAGUCGGGAGAGAGGGAGCUAUCACGGUUCACAGUAGAAACACCAGAGUUCUGAGGGACGUUCCAGGUUCUAACACACACCUUGGAAACGUGAGAGACAUCCUAGGACAGGGCAGACAAACCUGGGGAAUAAGUGACACUUCCCUGGUCAGCAUGGGGACACAAGGCGUAUCUGGUAGACGUAGCAGGCCAGUGUAGACACACCUCUCUCCCCACCCGCAGCUCUGGGAGCUCCCGCGGGUGGGGCCUGACCACAAGGCAGGAUGUGGGAGCCCCGGCCACACGGCCCGCAGGUCAAGGCGCGGGGAGGGAGUGGGGUGAACACGGGGGACAGUGGAUCCGGGGCGACAGAGGGUGUGCUGCACGAGAGCCACCUGGACACACCCGAGCUCUCACCUGAGGGUGCCACACCUGGACGCUCUUGAACGGUCGCGGGCUCGUCAACGCUGGACUCCGUCCACCGGGCAACCACCAGGGUCCCCUCAGGGUGGGGGUGGGGGUAGGGGGGGCGCAAGCUCUGGUCCCCACCGCCCCGCCUGGCUGCCCUGUCCUGUGUCCCGACGGCCCUCUGCCACCCGAGGCUCCGCAUUGCUGCGCGAUGUGGAAGGACGACACGGCACGGAGGUGGGGAAUCUGACUCUCCCCUCAAACUGCCCUGGUUCCACUGAGACCAGCAGUAAAGAGGAAGCGCAAUAAUAAACCUGCCCGCGGGAAACCAAUAAGAAGCAGGGCCUCGUGCCUUUGGCAAGAGGAGCCCAGAAAUGCAGUAACUUUUUGCCUUAACUUCCCCUCCACAGGCUCCCGUGAAGGAUUAUCUGCUCAGAUCCCAAGAUGAGCCAUUACGAGAGUCUGCUGCUUGAGCGGAACGCCUCUGGUCUGCAGAGAAACGUAGUUUUGCAAAGCGCCAGAUCUCAAGACCUGGGGCUGGGCCGCUCGCCAGGGGCGGGAGGCCGGCCCCCCAGGGAGAGACGGGGUCGGGGAAGGGACCCCGCCGCAGAGCUGACCGCACGAGCAGGCGCAGGUGGCCGUGGUCUCCCCCGGGCGGGCCGAUGCUGGGGAGGCCACACGGGGGUCACUUGUCCCUCGCGGCCGCCGUGCUCACGAACCACGAGUACCUCGUAAACCCCUAGGAGUGGGAUCGCUGGGCCACAUGGGUCUUUCCGAGACUCCCCUGUGUUUCCGUGGGGGAUGCUUGUCUCCCACGCCCACCGCAACACGCUCGGCCAUCGGCGUCACAACCUGGGCGUCACGUCCUGGCCGACGCUCGCUGUGCUGCGCUUCUGAUGGUUGCGGGACCUCGCGAUUGUCCUGUGUCCCCUGGUGAGGAGCGAGGGGAGUUCCAGUCGGGCGCUGACCGGCCAUCUGUGCGUCGUCUCUGGAGACAGACUUGGCCCAUUUUUUAAUGGGAUGGUUCCUUUGUCGCUGAGCAGUUUUUACAGAUCCUGGGUGUCAGCCCCUCAUCAGGUGAGGGAGACAUUUCUCCCAUUCUGUGGGCUGUCUUUAACUCCCCUGAUGGGGCCCUCUGAUGCCCCAAAGUGCUUCCUUUUGUAAAAGUCCAAUUUAUCUGCUUUUCUAGUUGCCUGUGCUUUGGGUGUUAGAGCCAAUAAAUCACCACAAAUGCGACGUCCGUCCUGAA